This 98-nucleotide small RNA is filed under the name Helianthus annuus (common sunflower). The record is from RNAcentral. Lineage: Eukaryota; Viridiplantae; Streptophyta; Magnoliopsida; Asterales; Asteraceae.
UGUUGCAUUUUACACACAUCAACUCCGCAGUUAAGCGGGCUUGGGCGAGAGUAGUACUAGGAUGGGUGUUCCCCUGGGAAGUCCUCGUGUUGCAACCC